GGAGAGCCUUGGCAUGGAGGAAAACCACAAGAGAGACCACUGGGUCCUGCUGAACCCAGGAGAGGACAACGAACUGGAGGCGUUUGGCUACCAGACCCAGACUCUGCGGAGAGCCCUUUGCCUGCUGGGCUCCGUCCUGUCCUGCGGCAUUCUGAGGCUUCUUUUCUACUGGCGUCCACAGUGGAAUGUGUGGGCACACUGUGUGCCCUGUCCCUUGCAAGAAGCUGACGUUGUUUUGCUUCGGACAACGGAUGAAUUUCAGAAAUACACAAGGAAGAAAGUGUUCUGCCUGUAUUUGUCUGUACUGAAGAACCCCAUAAACCCCAAAUCAGGAGACAUUGUUGCUGACCGUCAUUCGGUCAUAAAUAGAGCCGUCCUGAAGCCAGAGCUAAAAGUGCGAUGUAUCCAGGUGCAGAAAAUCAGGUACGUCUGGGACAACGUGGAGGAACGAUUCCAGAAAGUCGGGCUUCUGGAAGACAGUAACUCCUGCUCCGACAUCCACAACACGUUUGGAUCUGGCCUGGGGAAGGAAGAGCAAGAGAUCAGGAGGCUCAUCUGUGGCCUGAAUACCAUUGAGGUUGAGAUUCAGCCUGUCUGGAAACUCCUUGUUAAACAGGUUUUGAAUCCAUUUUACGUGUUCCAAGCCUUUACUCUGACUCUGUGGCUGUCUCAAGGUUAUAUCGAAUACUCCAUAGCUAUCAUCAUUCUGACCGUCAUCUCCAUUGUCUUAAGUGUCUAUAAUCUCUGGCAGCAAUCAGUCAAUCUGCACAACCUCGUGGAAGACCACAACAAGAUCCAGACCACAAUACACACCAAGGAGGAGGGUCUGCAGGAGCUCGAGUCCCAUCUCUUGGUGCCUGGAGAUAUCCUUGUUCUGCCUGGGAAGUUUUCCUUACCAUGCGAUGCUGUCCUGAUUGAUGGAAGCUGCAUUGUCAAUGAGGGCAUGUUGACAGGGGAAAGCAUUCCGGUCACGAAGACCCGGCUGCCCCACAUGGAGAGCACCACGCCUUGGAAGUCUCACAGCCUAGAGGAUUACCGGCGACAUGUCCUGUUCUGUGGGACCGAGGUCAUUCAGACCAAGCCAGCAGGGCCAGGCCCCGUCAGGGCUGUUGUCCUGCAUACAGGUUUCAACACUGCCAAAGGUGACUUGGUGAGAUCCAUCCUUUACCCAAGGCCCCUCAACUUCCAGCUCUACAAUGAUGCCUUCAAGUUUAUCGUCUUUCUUGCUUUCCUGGGGGUUGUAGGCUUCUUCUAUGCCUUCGGUGUAUACAUGUACCAUGGAACUUCUGCAAGAGACACCGUGACGAUGUCUUUGCUCCUUCUCACUGUCUCAGUGCCUCCAGUGUUACCAGCAGCCUUGACCACAGGAAUUUUUUAUGCUCAGAAGAGGCUGAAGAAGAAGAAAAUUUUUUGCAUCUCUCCACAGAGAAUCAAUAUGUGUGGCCAAAUCAACCUUGUUUGUUUUGACAAAACAGGCACGCUGACAGAAGAUGGCCUUGAUCUAUGGGGGGCUGUCCCUGUGAUGGGAAACUGUUUCCAGGAGGUCCACAGCUUCACCUCUGGCUGUGCUCUGCCCUGGGGCCCGCUUUGUGGAGCCAUGGCCAGCUGUCACUCCCUCAUCGUUUUGGACGGGACCAUCCAAGGAGACCCUCUGGACGUCAAGAUGUUUGAAGGCACCAGCUGGAUCAUUGAGGAUUCCUCUGUGGAUUACAGUGACUCUGGAAUACCAGCUUCCAGCACAAUCAUUAAGCCAGGCCCUCAAGCAAGCCAAACUCCAGCAAAAGCAGUCGCCAUUUUGCAUCAGUUUCCGUUUUCUUCGGGCCUGCAGAGAAUGUCAGUUAUUACCCAGCAGAUCGGCAAAGACCACUUCGACGCAUACAUGAAGGGAGCCCCAGAAAUGGUGGCCAGGUUUUGCAGACCAGAAACAGUGCCCCCAAAUUUUAAGGAGGCGCUGAAGCUUUACACCAUGCAAGGUUUCCGGGUCAUUGGCCUUGCUCACAAACCUCUAAAGGCAGGGAAGCAGCCAGAGAUGGGCAUUCAUACCAGGGAGGAAGUCGAGUCAGAGUUAACAUUUCUAGGCCUUCUGAUCAUGGAAAAUCGCUUGAAAAAAGAGACCAAGCCAGUCUUGAGAGAGCUGAGCAGUGCUCGCAUCCGGACGGUCAUGAUCACAGGGGAUAACCUUCAGACAGCCAUCACAGUCGCGAAAAAUUCUGAAAUGAUUCCUCAAGGAAACAAGGUGAUCCUCAUUGAGGCCAAUGAACCAGAAGGAUUCUCUCCUGCAUCUGUGACCUGGCAGCUGUUAGAGGACAAAGUGGAUGGUCACAGAAAUAAGGCGCGCCUGUCUGAGAGCCUGGUCCACUGUAAGGAGACCUGCCUUUCCAUCCAAGAUGGCUCCUUCCAUGAAGGGAGGCCAGGGGACGAUUACCACUUCGCCAUGAGUGGGAAAUCUUACCGAGUGAUCACCCAGCAUUUCAGCAAUUUGCUUCCCAAAAUCCUGGUGAAUGGAGCCAUUUUUGCCAGGAUGUCUCCCGGGCAGAAAUCAAGCCUUGUGGAAGAAUUCCAGAAAUUAAAUUACUAUGUCGGCAUGUGUGGUGAUGGAGCGAAUGACUGUGGGGCUUUGAAAAUGGCUCAUGCUGGCAUCUCACUGUCUGAGCAGGAGGCAUCUGUGGCUUCCCCCUUCACCUCAAAAACAGCCAAUAUAGAAUGUGUGCCACACCUGAUCAGGGAAGGACGAGCUGCUUUGGUUUCUUCCUUCGGAGUGUUUAAAUACCUAACCAUGUAUGGAGUAAUUCAGCUCAUUGGCACAUCUCUGCUUUAUUGGCAGUUGCAACUUUUUGGGAACUACCAGUACCUCAUGCAGGACGUGGCCAUCACCCUGAUGGUGUGUCUAACAAUGAGCUCCACUCACGCAUACCCAAAGCUGGCUCCGUACCGACCUGCUGGACAGCUCAUCUCGCCCCCCCUGCUGCUCUCUGUCUUUCUGAAUGCCUGUUUUUCGGGCAUUGUGCAGAUAUGGGCUUUCCUUUUUGUGAAGCAGCAGCCUUGGUACUGUGAGGUACAACGGUACAGCCAGUGCUUCUUGGCCAACCGAAGUGAUUCCUUCUCUGAUGCCAGUGUGGAUGGAAACUUGACGAUGGGGAAUGGGACUCUGACUUCGAAUUCCGUCCUGAGUUUUGAGAGUACCACACUGUGGCCCAUUACAACCCUCAACUGCAUCACUGUGGCCUUCAUCUUCUCAAAGGGGAAGCCAUUCCGAAAGCCUGUCUACACCAACUGGACCUCUGUGAUUAACCAAUCACUUGUGCUGACAGCUGUAUUAAGGAGGCCCGCCCAGGAAGCCAUCCGCCAAGACGACCCACGUGUGUCGUCCCCUCCAACAACAGGCACAACUUUGAUUUGAUGGAAUGGAAAUCAGUAAUGAUGAUUGGCUGCCGUAGAAGCACGCACGGUUCAUUUCAAUUGUGGCAGAAUAUGUACCGGGGAAGAGCGAGGCUCCUGGGGUCUGAAUGAAUGCGAGUUCCAAGUCCUAGCAGCCUGGCAUCAGCAGUGUCCUAGAAGUCCAGGGGCGCUCAGGUCUUUCCCAGCUUCCUUUGGGGGAGACCAUUGAUAAUGGGAGACCCUGUCUGUCUGCUCCACACAGUUGUAGACAAGAAGAAUGGAAAGGCUUCCUUCCACACCACGUUGUAAGAAAGGGGCUCAAGGGCUAUUCGGGGACUCAUGGACUCGCUGCCUGCCUAGUUUCUCCCCCUGCGGGUUGGGUCCUCAGGAAGGCUUUUAAAAUAGCAAUUCUAGAGUUCCACCAAUAGAUGGCGAUGAAGGUUGCACAACCUUCUGCAGGUUUGAUGCCACUAUAGCUUCAAAGUUCUAGACACGAAAGGACCCUCAGAGACCGUCUAGUCCAGCCCCUACACUUUACAUAUGAGGAAACUGAGGCACAAGGAGUUGUCCAAGGUCAGACAAUUUGAAAGUGGAAGAACCGGGACUAGGCUACGCAAGAUACAAUUUCUGCUAAUUCUAGGUUAGGACAUGUUGGCAUACACUUUUCGCAAUGAUUAAAAGGAAGAAUCUACAUUGAUUUUAGUGGAGAAAUGCUGAAAGUUGAGAAAUGACAAAAACACUGUGCUAAGAUACUAGAGCUAACAGACGUUAAGAGGAGAAUGGUGUGUCUGGAGAAGGGCUGCAAGUGCAUGCCACCUGAGGGUCACAGCUCCACAGUCUCUGUCGCUGGAUCUUCAACCAUAUCAUGCCCCCCAACUAUCUCUUUUCAUUCCUGCUGUUUGCUGCCCUUGGUGUGACUCUUUUCAUUACAUUUGCUGACAUUCCAGUGAUAUACAGUGGAA
This is an RNA transcript of Phascolarctos cinereus (koala), 4340 nucleotides long. It is a transcript of the gene named ATPase 13A5, with no coding region annotated. The record is from RefSeq and is a predicted model, not a curated record. Lineage: Eukaryota; Metazoa; Chordata; Mammalia; Diprotodontia; Phascolarctidae.